This 619-nucleotide ribosomal RNA is filed under the name Yokenella regensburgei. Its description in RNAcentral is "bacterial SSU rRNA". It matches the Rfam family "Bacterial small subunit ribosomal RNA", at positions 104 to 719 of the family's 1533-position model. The record is from RNAcentral. Lineage: Bacteria; Pseudomonadati; Pseudomonadota; Gammaproteobacteria; Enterobacterales; Enterobacteriaceae.
GGGUGAGUAAUGUCUGGGAAACUGCCCGAUGGAGGGGGAUAACUACUGGAAACGGUAGCUAAUACCGCAUAACGUCGCAAGACCAAAGAGGGGGACCUUCGGGCCUCUUGCCAUCGGAUGUGCCCAGAUGGGAUUAGCUAGUAGGUGGGGUAAUGGCUCACCUAGGCGACGAUCCCUAGCUGGUCUGAGAGGAUGACCAGCCACACUGGAACUGAGACACGGUCCAGACUCCUACGGGAGGCAGCAGUGGGGAAUAUUGCACAAUGGGCGCAAGCCUGAUGCAGCCAUGCCGCGUGUGUGAAGAAGGCCUUCGGGUUGUAAAGCACUUUCAGCGGGGAGGAAGGCGAUACGGUUAAUAACCGUGUUGAUUGACGUUACCCGCAGAAGAAGCACCGGCUAACUCCGUGCCAGCAGCCGCGGUAAUACGGAGGGUGCAAGCGUUAAUCGGAAUUACUGGGCGUAAAGCGCACGCAGGCGGUCUGUCAAGUCGGAUGUGAAAUCCCCGGGCUCAACCUGGGAACUGCAUUCGAAACUGGCAGGCUUGAGUCUUGUAGAGGGGGGUAGAAUUCCAGGUGUAGCGGUGAAAUGCGUAGAGAUCUGGAGGAAUACCGGUGGCGAA